Molecule: ribosomal RNA, 258 nt
Filed under: uncultured bacterium
Lineage: Bacteria
Description: partial 16S ribosomal RNA
Rfam family: Bacterial small subunit ribosomal RNA
Source: RNAcentral
UACGGGGGGAGCAAGCGUUGUUCGGAUUUACUGGGCGUAAAGGGCGCGUAGGCGGCGUGACAAGUCACUUGUGAAAUCUCCGGGCUUAACGUCGGAACGGUCAAGUGAUACUGUCGUGCUAGAGGUGCGGAAGGGGCUACUGGAAUUCUCGGUGUAGCGGUGAAAUGCGUAGAUAUCGAGAGGGAACACCUGCGGCGAAGGCGGGUAGCUGGGCCGACACUGACGGCUGAGGCGCGGAAAGCCAGGGGAGCGAACGGG